RNAcentral lists this ribosomal RNA (440 nucleotides) under uncultured bacterium. RNAcentral describes it as "bacterial SSU rRNA". It matches the Rfam family "Bacterial small subunit ribosomal RNA", at positions 339 to 796 of the family's 1533-position model. The record is from RNAcentral.
CUACGGGAGGCAGCAGUAGGGAAUAUUGGACAAUGGGCGCAAGCCUGAUCCAGCCAUGCCGCGUGAGUGAUGAAGGCCUUAGGGUUGUAAAGCUCUUUCGCCAGGGACGAUAAUGACGGUACCUGGAUAAGAAGCCCCGGCUAACUUCGUGCCAGCAGCCGCGGUAAUACGAAGGGGGCUAGCGUUGUUCGGAAUCACUGGGCGUAAAGCGUAUGCAGGCGGAUCGUUAAGUCAGGGGUGAAAUCCCGAGGCUCAACCUCGGAACUGCCUUUGAUACUGGGAGUCUGGAGUGCGGGAGAGGUGAGUGGAACUGCGAGUGUAGAGGUGAAAUUCGUAGAUAUUCGCAAGAACACCAGUGGCGAAGGCGGCUCACUGGCCCGAUACUGACGCUGAGGUGCGAAAGCGUGGGGAGCAAACGGGAUUAGAAACCCCGGUAGUCC